RNAcentral lists this ribosomal RNA (1343 nucleotides) under uncultured bacterium. RNAcentral's name for it is "16S ribosomal RNA". It matches the Rfam family "Bacterial small subunit ribosomal RNA", at positions 28 to 1378 of the family's 1533-position model. The record is from RNAcentral.
GACGAACGCUUGCGGCGUGCUUAACACAUGCAAGUCGAACGGAAAGGCCCUGCUUUUGUGGGGUGCUCGAGUGGCGAACGGGUGAGUAACACGUGAGUAACCUGCCCUUGACUUUGGGAUAACUUCAGGAAACUGGGGCUAAUACCGGAUAGGAGCUCCUGCUGCAUGGUGGGGGUUGGAAAGUUUCGGCGGUUGGGGAUGGACUCGCGGCUUAUCAGCUUGUUGGUGGGGUAGUGGCUUACCAAGGCUUUGACGGGUAGCCGGCCUGAGAGGGUGACCGGCCACAUUGGGACUGAGAUACGGCCCAGACUCCCACGGGAGGCAGCAGUGGGGAAUAUUGCACAAUGGGCGGAAGCCUGAUGCAGCAACGCCGCGUGCGGGAUGACGGCCUUCGGGUUGUAAACCGCUUUCGCCUGUGACGAAGCGUGAGUGACGGUAAUGGGUAAAGAAGCACCGGCUAACUACGUGCCAGCAGCCGCGGUGAUACGUAGGGUGCGAGCGUUGUCCGGAUUUAUUGGGCGUAAAGGGCUCGUAGGUGGUUGAUCGCGUCGGAAGUGUAAUCUUGGGGCUUAACCCUGAGCGUGCUUUCGAUACGGGUUGACUUGAGGAAGGUAGGGGAGAAUGGAAUUCCUGGUGGAGCGGUGGAAUGCGCAGAUAUCAGGAGGAACACCAGUGGCGAAGGCGGUUCUCUGGGCCUUUCCUGACGCUGAGGAGCGAAAGCGUGGGGAGCGAACAGGCUUAGAUACCCUGGUAGUCCACGCUGUAAACGGUGGGUACUAGGUGUGGGGUCCAUUCCACGGGUUCCGUGCCGUAGCUAACGCUUUAAGUACCCCGCCUGGGGAGUACGGCCGCAAGGCUAAAACUCAAAGGAAUUGACGGGGCCCCGCACAAGCGGCGGAGCAUGCGGAUUAAUUCGAUGCAACGCGUAGAACCUUACCUGGGUUUGACAUGGAUCGGGAGUGCUCAGAGAUGGGUGUGCCUCUUUUGGGGUCGGUUCACAGGUGGUGCAUGCCUGUCGUCAGCUCGUGUCGUGAGAUGUUGGGUUAAGUCCCGCAACGAGCGCAACCCUUGUUCACUGUUGCCAGCACGUUAUGGUGGGGACUCAGUGGAGACCGCCGGGGUCAACUCGGAGGAAGGUGGGGAUGACGUCAAGUCAUCAUGCCCCUUAUGUCCAGGGCUUCACGCAUGCUACAAUGGCUGGUACAGAGAGUGGCGAGCCUGUGAGGGUGAGCGAAUCUCGGAAAGCCGGUCUCAGUUCGGAUUGGGGUCUGCAACUCGACCUCAUGAAGUCGGAGUCGCUAGUAAUCGCAGAUCAGCAACGCUGCGGUGAAUACGUUCCCGGG